UUCCUCAUCUCUGGCAAGAGCACAGCGGGACUGCAGUUCAGCAUUCAGAUGUAAGGCAGGGACCUUCUAACCUCAGAACAUAUGAAGAGCCCUGCUGAAUCAGACCAAAGAUACAUCUAUUCCAGGAUCUUGUUUCUAAGAGCAACUAGCCACAUGACUCCAGGAAGCCCAUAAGCAGGACAUCGAGGUGAUGGUCGUCUCCUGACAUUUGUCCUCUGCAUCUGCUAGGCAGAGGAAAACUGCUUCUGGUCAUCUUCCAGAAGGGACUCAGGGGCAGCCCUUCUAUGUGGCAAGGCGUUGUAGGGAAACCUACCUGACCCACUGUCUGAGACUAUGGCAUGGGAGGAGUCUUUGAGCCUUUGCCUUCUGUUGUAUCCCCAGUUUGGAUUGCUGCCCACCCACCACUCCACACUGCUAUUGAGAAGUCAAGACAGAAAUGUUUACAAGCACAUGGCCUGAAGAAAGAAUUCAGACCCAAGGAAUAAAGGGAAGCUAGAAGAAAAAAGUGACCAAGGUCUACAACACUAUCAGCAGAUUCUUAGAGCUCCAACUUUAAAAAGGAAAAAGGUUGAUAUGCAUGAAUGGACUUCCUGAAGGCAUAUAUUAACAAAAUGAAACCAAAAAACCCCACAAAAAAACCACAGGUUAUACUACCAAAUGAAAUGGAAAUUUGGUUUAUUGCUUUUCUUGCUUUUCCCCCUUAUUGAGCGAAUCGGCUGUAAAAGCAGAUUUAAGUUUUAUGGAGGCAGCAAUAGUUAGAAAUAAUUGCCUGCAUUUGCUUGCAUUGUUGUAGAGAUUCAAUAUUUCCCUCUCAACUGGGGCUGUUGUGUAUUUCCCUCACAACUAGGGGUGUUGCAUGUAAAGGGAUUCCCCUUUACAAGCAGAGCACUCAAACUGGUUGAACCAGGCUGAACCAGUUCAAUCCGAACCGGGCCAAGUUUGAUUCGAACUCGGACCACCACCACCUUCUUUUGGAGGGCCAGUCCACUUUGAGCUUGAACUGGUCGAACAAGGCUAGUUUGAAUUGAACCAGGUUUGACUUGAACCAAUUCUACACACCCCUACUCACAACACUCUCUUCUGUUUAUUUUUUAAACUUUCCUUAGAUGAUUAUGUUCCCCAGUUAUUCAUUGUAAUUCUUCAUAAAUCUUUGCUGCCGCUUUGCAUUAAACUACAUUUUUUGGCCUGCAACAGGAA
Hemicordylus capensis (graceful crag lizard) is the source of this 1197-nucleotide long non-coding RNA. RefSeq lists it as uncharacterized. Lineage: Eukaryota; Metazoa; Chordata; Lepidosauria; Squamata; Cordylidae. The transcript has 4 exons. The record is from RefSeq and is a predicted model, not a curated record.